This 465-nucleotide ribosomal RNA is filed under the name Vreelandella stevensii. Its description in RNAcentral is "partial 16S ribosomal RNA". It matches the Rfam family "Bacterial small subunit ribosomal RNA", at positions 338 to 795 of the family's 1533-position model. Lineage: Bacteria; Pseudomonadati; Pseudomonadota; Gammaproteobacteria; Oceanospirillales; Halomonadaceae. The record is from RNAcentral.
CCUACGGGUGGCAGCAGUGGGGAAUAUUGGACAAUGGGGGCAACCCUGAUCCAGCCAUGCCGCGUGUGUGAAGAAGGCCCUCGGGUUGUAAAGCACUUUCAGUGAGGAAGAACGCCUGGUGGUUAAUACCCAUCAGGAAAGACAUCACUCACAGAAGAAGCACCGGCUAACUCCGUGCCAGCAGCCGCGGUAAUACGGAGGGUGCGAGCGUUAAUCGGAAUUACUGGGCGUAAAGCGCGCGUAGGUGGCUUGAUAAGCCGGUUGUGAAAGCCCCGGGCUCAACCUGGGAACGGCAUCCGGAACUGUCAAGCUAGAGUGCAGGAGAGGAAGGUAGAAUUCCCGGUGUAGCGGUGAAAUGCGUAGAGAUCGGGAGGAAUACCAGUGGCGAAGGCGGCCUUCUGGACUGACACUGACACUGAGGUGCGAAAGCGUGGGUAGCAAACAGGAUUAGAUACCCGUUUAGUC